Molecule: long non-coding RNA, 1267 nt
Filed under: Polistes fuscatus (common paper wasp)
Lineage: Eukaryota; Metazoa; Arthropoda; Insecta; Hymenoptera; Vespidae
Description: uncharacterized LOC122523805, transcript variant X3
Source: RNAcentral
CAUAUAAUAAAACUAGUAAUUUCAUAUAAAUAAAGAAACAAGUGUAAGGAAUGAAAAUUAAAGAUACAACCGAAUUCUCAGUACGGUCACCCGCAAAUAGAAACCCUCGUUCGUGAUGCGGAGCUUUCGAGAGAAAGAAAGAAAGAAAGAAAGAAAGAAAGAAAGAAAGAAAGAAAAAAAUACAGUACUACGAGACGGACAUUGGUGAUCGAUUUCACGUGACGAGAUCGGCUAAGAAUGGAAAGGAAACCGUUGUUUUGUAUGAGAAUGCAAAUCGUCGAGUCAGCAGGGAGAUGUUGCUUUUUCGCGACCUGAUAAUUAUACUACGAGAAAUCGUACGAGAAAUUCUUACAAUCAAAUUCAAUCGAUGUCAAUAGGUGCUUACGAAUGAUCAGUUAUAUAGAAGAAUCAAUGUACGAUAAACUACAAUGAAUUCUUAGAGAUGAUGGAUUGUACAAAAAGCACGAUACGUUGUUUCAAAAAUCUCGAUCGAUAUUUGAUUGAUCAUCUCUUUCCUAGGAAUUUCAAUUAUUUCGAUGACAUGCUUAUGCACGGUAUUUGUCAACAGGAUAUUUACAAUUCUUAUUUCUCUAAUGCAACAACACGUUUAUUAAAAGCCAUUUCGUUUUAACGAGAAUCAAUUGAUCUUCAAUUGAACUUCACGUUUACGUAUGAUAGUUCUCAAAAAGGAAUUAUUUCGAAUGUACUCGAUUUUACAGAAGAAAUUAACUCGAGCAACCUUUCGUGAGUAGUCACGUAUUUGUACGGCUGUUAUGCGAUCAAGGUACAUAAUGCAGUAAUCUUAAAUGGCGUGGGAGAUGUAGGAUCAUAAUAACGCCCAGAAAACCAAUCGUUGAAGACAUUGUCUUUAUACAAAAAGGAAACGUUGUGUACAAAAGAAAAAUAAAUAAAUAAAUAAAAAAAGAAAAAAGAGAACAAGAUAAAAAAGGAAAUAAAAAAGAUGAUGAUGGUAAAGAAACCGAUGAACGUGUAUCGUAUAUUUGGGUCAGUGGCACAACACGUGAAUGCGUGAAAUCGUAAGUCAAUGACCUGAUCGAUGACCUGUUGACUUAGAGAGGGUACAUUACUUACGAAUGAGAAAGAAUCUAACCAAUGUUCACGGAAGUAAAUAUGUGUAGUAUGUAUGCGAAUGGAAGCCAACUCUGUAAUAAACCAGAGAGGAAAGAACAUCUUUUUCUCGUUCUCUACGUUGCAUUAGUAAAUAAUGAUACACUUUAAAAUGAAUAAUAAAUUGUUACUAAUUGAA